GGACAGGUGCCAGAGUGGUCGAAUGGGCGCGCCUGGAAAGCGCGUGUACCUGAAAGGGUACCGUGGGUUCGAAUCCCACCCUGUCCGCCA
RNAcentral lists this transfer RNA (90 nucleotides) under Actinomycetales bacterium. Its description in RNAcentral is "tRNA-Ser". It matches the Rfam family "tRNA". Rfam says of the family: Transfer RNA (tRNA) molecules are approximately 80 nucleotides in length. Their secondary structure includes four short double-helical elements and three loops (D, anti-codon, and T loops). Further hydrogen bonds mediate the characteristic L-shaped molecular structure. tRNAs have two regions of fundamental functional importance: the anti-codon, which is responsible for specific mRNA codon recognition, and the 3' end, to which the tRNAs corresponding amino acid is attached (by aminoacyl-tRNA synthetases). tRNAs cope with the degeneracy of the genetic code in two manners: having more than one tRNA (with a specific anti-codon) for a particular amino acid; and 'wobble' base-pairing, i.e. permitting non-standard base-pairing at the 3rd anti-codon position. The record is from RNAcentral. RNAcentral also lists the same sequence under 2 other names. Lineage: Bacteria; Bacillati; Actinomycetota; Actinomycetes; Actinomycetales.